RNAcentral lists this small RNA (107 nucleotides) under Marmota monax (woodchuck). Lineage: Eukaryota; Metazoa; Chordata; Mammalia; Rodentia; Sciuridae. The record is from RNAcentral.
GCCAGGUGCAGUGACACAUACCUGUAAUUUCCCCUACUCAAGAGGCUGAGGCAGGAGGAUCUUAAGUUUGAGGCUUACCUCAGAAAUUUAGUGAGAUCCUGUCUCAA